Molecule: ribosomal RNA, 496 nt
Filed under: uncultured bacterium
Lineage: Bacteria
Description: partial 16S ribosomal RNA
Rfam family: Bacterial small subunit ribosomal RNA
Source: RNAcentral
GAUGAACGCUGGCGGCGUGCCUAAUACAUGCAAGUCGAGCGAACGGACGAGAAGCUUGCUUCUCUGAUGUUAGCGGCGGACGGGUGAGUAACACGUGGAUAACCUACCUAUAAGACUGGGAUAACUUCGGGAAACCGGAGCUACUACCGGAUAAUAUUUUGAACCGCAUGGUUCAAACGUGAAAGACGCUCUUGCUGUCACUUAUAGAUGGAUCCGCGCUGCAUUAGCUAGUUGGUAAGGUAACGGCUUACCAAGGCAACGAUGCAUAGCCGACCUGAGAGGGUGAUCAGCAGCAGGGGAAAUGAGACACGGCCCAACCUCCGACGGGAGGCAGCGGUAGGGAAUCUGCCGCAAGGGGCGAAAGCGUGACGGAGGAAAUGCGCGAGAGUGAGGAGGGGCUUCGGAGCGUAAAACUUGGUGAUUAGAGAAGAAUAUAUGUCUAAGUACCUGGGCACAUCUGGACGGACCCGAAGCAGAAGGCCCCGGCUAACUACGG